ACAGAGGUCCCAAGCGUUGUUCGGAUUCACUGGGCGUAAAGGGUGCGUAGGCGGUCGGGCAAGUUUGAUGUGAAAGCCCCGGGCUCAACCUGGGAAUGGCAUUGGAAACUGGCUUGCUGGAGUGUGGCAGAGGGGGGUGGAAUUCCGCGUGUAGCAGUGAAAUGCGUAGAGAUGCGGAGGAACACCGAUGGCGAAGGCAGCCCCCUGGGCCAACACUGACGCUCAGGCACGAAAGCGUGGGGAGCAAACAGGA
This 253-nucleotide ribosomal RNA is filed under the name uncultured prokaryote. Its description in RNAcentral is "partial 16S ribosomal RNA". It matches the Rfam family "Bacterial small subunit ribosomal RNA", at positions 525 to 777 of the family's 1533-position model. The record is from RNAcentral.